AGCACUGAUUUUCAGGGCCCAAGGCUCCUGAAUGUGAGCGCUGCACGCUGGCCUGCAGUGUGGGGUGGGGAGGGCGACCCCAGAGGACCACCUCGGCCCGGUGGCUGUCAGCCUGGCCCUGUCCUUCCCUGAGGGGCAGCCCCCAGCAGGUCUUCUGGAUGACAGCUAAGCCCUGGAAGAUUCUCCAAAGGCACCUGUUUCAGAAGCAAGGCUGCCAGACACUGCCCACACCCUUUCUAAAGGGCAUGGAACGUGGAGGAAAGGAGCAGGAGGGCAGAGGCCGGGCAGAGAGCGGCCCGUGACACAGACCCGUCCGGAGCUCUGGAGCGCCCCUCUCCCGCUGCAAUGACCAGAAUCAGCAAAUUAUGCUUGUUUUGUUCUCACAGUUUAAAAAUAAACCAUAGAAGACUCUAGUAUCUAUAGGAACAUUA
Molecule: long non-coding RNA, 431 nt
Organism: Manis pentadactyla (Chinese pangolin)
Lineage: Eukaryota; Metazoa; Chordata; Mammalia; Pholidota; Manidae
Exons: 2
Source: RefSeq, a predicted model, not a curated record